RNAcentral lists this unclassified non-coding RNA (3998 nucleotides) under Leishmania donovani. Its description in RNAcentral is "gene:LdHU3.20.0080(CDS-product:DNA_repair_protein _BRCA2_putative)". The record is from RNAcentral. Lineage: Eukaryota; Euglenozoa; Kinetoplastea; Trypanosomatida; Trypanosomatidae.
AGGUGGCGCCAGCGCUAAGGGCAUUCGCGCACCCCCGGGACGUACACCGCCACCCACAUAGAAAACAAACAGAACAGGAAAGGAGCACACACACACACACACACACAGACAUGCAAGCGGACGUCGCAUCUCCAGCAAAACAUCUCCUCUCUGACGUCUCUCCCUCUGCCUAACGUAUAUUGUUCAUCUUCCAUUUUCCUCUUCCCUGGUGCCCCGCAGCACUUCCUAGCUGCCGUCCCCUUCGUCCUGCGGCACGCGUACCGCCAAACGUCAGCGGGUGGGGUCCCUGCACGCAUCUCUGAGUGAGGGGCUGCGCGCUCGGGGUGGACGCUCUUGCCACCUAUCGCAUGCGCUCUCCCUACCUAGAGUCUCGAAGAGGCAGACGCGCGGUGUGUCUUGGUACACCGACGAGAUGAAGACGAUUGCCUGUCCGCAUUGCACCUUCAUCAAUCCGCCAAGUAAGGUGAAGUGCGGCGUUUGCCUUCGAUUGCUGCGGAAGCGCGAACGCACCGUGGCCGACGCCUCACCCGCGACAGCCAACAGAGGCCGGAAGGGGACUCCGUCACCGUCAUCCACUCCCACUGAGCACGACUCCCCAGCGACUGGCUCGUCACAAGUACGAUGCGACACGACAAAGUCUUCGAUGCCACUAGCAACGCCGAAGAGCGGCACAGUCGCUAGUGCCCAAGCCGUUCAACCACCUGAUGUGGAGGCGAUGGCGGCCGCCCCUCCGCUGGUCCCGACGCUGUUUUCCACGGCCUCUGGCAAGCCAGUAACGGUACGCCGAGAGUCUCUUCAAAAGGUGGCGGAGCGACUAGGCGACCUCGCCGCCCCCGACAUGGAGGCGCGUGUGCCGACGCUGUUCGAAACGGGAAGAGGGAAGGCGGUUACCGUGCAGAAACGUUCACUGGACAAGGCAGAGGCAUCUAUGGAUAGUCUGGAAGCCGACGGCGCGCCUUCAACAAGCGCGCCCGCACUCUCUGCCACAACUGGUGGCGCGGCGGUGCGAGUGCCGGCAGUACCUUUGCAGGCACCUGCUGAACGCUUGAGGCUAAAGUCGCUUUCAGACAAGGACGACACCUCGGACACGGCUGCCGUGCGCAGUAUAGGGGCACCUCGGCAAACAGCGCGAGCGGAGGCUCUGUCAAGGGGCUUGACAACAAGUACAUCUGAGUGCGGCCUUCGCGCUCUCGCCCUUCACGUCAUUGGGGGCCAGCGACGCGGCUUUGUGCCCCCGCAGCAGCGCCCCUCUGCACAACCGCUCGCCAAGCUGACACACGCGGUACCAUUGGUCAAGACCUCUGGGCUUACGAUUUUGCGAUUCAAUCCGGAUGCGUGCACGUGCCGUAGCAUCACCCCGAGCCCAUCACUGUCGUCCAUCACAUCGCUGAUGUUUUCUUUCAAGGGCAGCGACUGCGGCAAGGUUCUGGCAGCCUUGCUGGGUGUGAGCGGCGCUGAAUCGGUGCAACCGCUCCACUGGCAUGCGAUGCUGCUCAAGCUUGGCGCCAGCCCGAAACACUGCACGAUCAAUUGGUGCCGCCACGCGCUUGUUUCGGCGAUGGCGCGGGCGCAUUUCAUGACGAAAGUCCCAUCUGGCGCGCUGCCGAGCGCCUUCUCCCCCGUCACAGUUCUUCUGUGCGUCAUGCAGAUGUACAACGCAGAGAUGGUGAACGGCGAGCGCCCGGCACUGCGAAAGAUGGUGGAGGGAGAUAUUUCCAGCGCCUCCUUGGUGGUGCUGUACAUGAGCUCCGUUAGCGAGGAGCGCAGCUCGCCACACAUGCGCAUCGUGACCCUUUCCGACGGCAUUUACCAUCUCAAGGUGACGUGCGACGUCCCGCUAAGCAACUUGAUUCGCGAAGGGGUUCUAAAGCCGGGGCAAAGGAUGGCCGUGUGCGGUGCCAAGUCGCUUCUGCACAGACAGUGCGCGCCGACGGAGUGCGAGGAACAGGUGGUCCUCAGCAUCAACUACAACUGCGUGCGAGCGGUGGCUCAGCAAACCCCGCUGGGUGUGUGUCACGGAGAGCCGCUGCCUUUGCCCCUGUCGCUCGUGCACCCGCUCGGUGGACUAGUACCGGCGAUCGAAGGUGUGGUGGCACGAACGUUGCCGUCGUUUUUCGUUUCGGAGGAGGCGACGGAGACGCCGGGCACCCACGAUGGCGCGCGUCAGGCUCGCAAUCGCGUCUUCAAGACGGUGCGCAACGCUCACGCCCAGCUCCAGGUGAGCGACCGCCUGCGCAGGGAGGCAGAGGCGUGGGCAGAUGGUGAAGCAGCCCAGUCGAAGCCGCUUUCGCGAGUGACCUCGCUGCUCAUUGUGAAGGACAAUGCCGAGGCUCUCGUUCAACAGUGGGAGACAGUGGACGAGCGUGUCCUGCUGGCCGACGACGACGGUGGCGCGUCGCUGCCGGUGGAGGGCAGCUGGGUCACGCUUUAUGCGGUCAACCCCGCCAAAUCGCGCACCGCUGCGGCGCCGUUCCCGCGAGCAAAGCUGUUCUUCUCCUCUCGUCAGCUGCACUACGUCCCAUCCAAGAACCCACUUCAGCACUUGCGACGCAUUUGGAUGGCCGCAACAGACAACAAAUCCACCGCUGGGGUCGGUGACGUAGCUGACGUGUGUGGCCUUUACAUGGGCAGUCACAGAAAUGAGCAGGGCACCUUCGCGCUCCUGCUGCUGCGCAACGACACAUAUGCACUCCUUCAGGUCCCAGUGCCGUCUGCUGGGCGGGCACUGUCGCUCCCACUGCCCGCGACAGAGCGGCUUUCACUGGUGGUCCUGAACGCGACCUUUCUUACUGGCGAGGAUCCCGUUGCCGGCUCUGACUGCUGCCGGCUCUUCGCCAAUGAGUACACAGCGGUUCUCCAGCGAUCUACUCAGGCAAACCUGAAGGAGGCCUUGGAGACGGCCGCGCAACUUCGAGGGCUGGUCGAUGCUGCUCCGCAAAAGUACGCCGCUCGGAAAGCAGAGGUGUUCCGGUGUAUUGACGAGGGCGAGCCGAGUGGCGGCUUGGGUCUCGGCAGCAGCACGGCCCUGACCAUCCGUGACGGCCAAGGCGUUCCAGAAGUGCCACUGAACGUUUGGCGCGAUGCACCCCUUGCAAGCCCAAGUGCUGCAGCGACGUCCCUGGUCCCUGCACAGAGGUACGGCAGACUGCCGUACUACCUGCGUCAAGAUAAUGACAGGGCGAUAGCCGGCAAGCUAACGGGCGUACUGCUACCUUCGGCAGCUCUCCCUACCCCUGCCGUCCCAACUGCGGUGCAGGGCCCUUACAGCGCUACUACAAUCCACCCCGGUGUACGUGAGCCGCUUGUGCAGCCCGCGAGCUCCGUCGCUGGCGCUCGCAGCCGCCACUACGGCAAUAUAGCGGACUUAAUGUUUCUGUUCGACCCUCGUCUCAACCGGCGCGCGUGGCACCCGCUUACAGACCCUCUCCAGGUCACCUCCUCGGAAGUUGUGCGGCACGGCGAAUGCUUCAAGCGUGCUCAGCUGUGCUGGCGCCUUUCGGCCGACUCGGCAGAUGACAUGACAUGCAGGGUGGAGGAGAGCAGCAUCCUCGGAACUGUUCUGGAGAGUGUGUGCCCUUUGCAGGAACUGUGCUCCGUCAUCGCAGACGAACGACAUAUCGACGUCUCGCUGGCGAGGAGUGAGCGACUUGUGCAGUGGCGGCGGCAGGAUUCGCUGUCGGUAUGGUGGAGGUUCUUUACUGACUCGCGUGCUCUCGCCUCCCCUGCUGACUUGGAUGGUGCAUCCAGCGAGCAUCUGUGGUGGCUGCCUGCGGAGUGGACCGCGGCGAUGAGGACAGUGAGUGCAAAGCUGCAAGCUGCCUUCUUCUACUUCUCCCUCAGCGGCGAGGUGCUGCGUCAUGUGCGUCUCAUCUCUGACUGCUGCAGUGUAGCGGAGCUGCCCUGCGACUAGGGGCGGAAGUUCCCACGUGUGGACUCUCCCUCGCGAAUGAGCGCUGUCGAGCGUUUUUUUUGUGCCCAGUGGCUGCAAUGCAGAAACG